GUUGUUCUCCUGUUGGACACAAAUAAUCUCACAGAGCAUCAACAUCAGAUAGGACAUUGUGGGUCCAUGAUAAGGUGAAAUUAAAAAUAAGGUCAUAUAUAAUCAUUUAAAUACCAAACAUCUCCCUCUCGGCUAAAAUGAGGGAGUACUACUUCUUUAGCAACUACAGAUUUGUCUUUUCUAAUCAGGUCUCCCUAUGACAGAGAUAGCCUCUCAUAAAAUUGACCCACUUCCUGAUAACAGCCAAUACUAGCACAAAGUUCAUUUCCUUAGAUCCUCUCCAGAAUUUUCCAAAGCCCAAAUCAUAUAAGGGGUUCUGGCACCUUCUAACUGAGAUUCCCCAUAGUGUUCCAUAGAGUGUGAUCUCCUUCUCUCCAGAAGUGAUAAAUAAACCUCAGGUUGACCACCGACAAGAACUGGGGUUGUGAAAUCUGAUGCUAAGGAGACCUUAAGGUAAACUAAUAGCUUGAACAUUUGUAUCUUCCUCUUCCUUAUUCUCUAAUUGUUUUAGAAUCCCUAAAAAGAAUUGAACUUCAAAAAAAUGCUGAACUUAUCAAUGUUCUAAUCUUGGAAUACUAUUAGAGGGAUCAAGGUCCUUGGAAAAAACAUCAAAAACCUGCCCUUUGUGAGAGAUACUGUCUCAUUUAGAUGAUGUCCUAAAUGGCAGAACCAGGAAGAAACUGGAGAAGGUGAUACAACAUUAGAUUACAACAUUUUUGGAAAAGUUUCUGUGAAUCAGCCUCAGAACACAAUACUGCCUGAUAACCAAGCAUGAUAGACUCUAUGUAGUCAGUAAGUUUCCAAAGAUUAUUCAACUAAUUAGUCUAUUUGUUUUUCCUUUUUAAGUUAUCUUGGGUCUAAAAAGGCCCAUCUCUUCUUUGAGAAUGAAACUGGAUACUGGUAACAUUUAAUAAACAAAUUUUCAAAGUGUUACCUAAAAAUGCAAUUUAGGAAGUGAAACCUCUUUAAACAUAUGACCUUGAGAAUAACAAAAUUAGAGUGCCUACUGAUAAUAAAAUAACAUAGACUAAAAUUUAAGCUGGGAUUAGGGGGUCUAAAUCUAGCAAAUGUGAGUUUAUGCUUAUCACAUUGUGCUCAAGAUGCUCUGGGGUUCUAAUGAAGGAAACUGAUUAAUUGUUGGAAUCACUGACAAUAAAUGGUAUUGUUUUCAAGGAAAACAGGUCACAUUUUCCAUAUAGGUGCAUAUAAGUUAUAUGCAUAUAAAUUAUAAAUUACUAGUGUCACAAUAUAGAUUUAAGGGAGAUCAAUUUACCAAAUAAUCUUGAUUAUUGAUCUGGUCCAUCAUAAGUACUGACAACCCAUUCACAGUUCCAAGAUUCUUCUAUCACUAAGGCUUCAUUUCAUAUCUUGACAUGGAAUAAAAAGUCCAAAUACAAUCAGCAUGUUGGGAAAACAGCAUUAGGAUAAUUGGGAGACAAUGAUCUCAACAAAACUGGACAUCCUUGAGGCAAAAAUGAAAACACACACACACACACACACACACACACCCCAUGAUCAAGUUGAAAUCCUUCUUGUGUCUAUUUUUAAUAUCUACAACUAGGUUAUUAAAAACCAGAACAAUAGUGUUCUUUUAUUAAUUUCUAUUACUGUUCCAAUUAUUCAGUUCCUUCUGUAUUUUGACACAGGAUUUGAAUUUUAUUGAAAAGCUGACACACUCAUGCCCCAAAAGUAAACAAUCUCAAGUUCUGACUUUAACUCAUAGACUGUGGCCCCACAUCAUAAAUCACCCCACAUCUAUAUUUCAGUGUAGUUUUAUUGCUCAUAUUUAAUACACUGUAUUAUUUAAUGUUCAUAAUCACGAGAAAUAUAUAUUAUCUUCAGUCUAGAGAUAAGUGAACACUUGACAUUCAACAGAUGUGUGCUAAGACCUUUAGGAUUUCCCUAAAUUUGCAAAUACCACAAAUGCAAUAAAUGCUAACUUCAAUAUCAAGAAAUGAGUAGAGAAUAAGGAAAGAAGGCUGAGAAGUAGAUCUGAGUGUUUGGUUGAACUCACUCCCUGGGUUAAGUCACACAUUGGUAAAGUUCAGCCUCACAGCAUGUGGUCAUUAAAACAGCAUGUAGAAUUCAAAUUUCUAACAUUUAUAAGGUAAUGAAAUUUCAGAUCACUCACAGACAGUGAAACUAGAAUAUUAAGGUUCACAGUGCCAAGAGGCAACCAUAUCAGGAAAGAUAAUUGAAUACUUCAGUGAUAUAUUGGGCUAGUCCCAAAUGAAACAUUGACUUACUUACUAUAAUCUUAAAACCUUAAUUAUCAUAAUGCAAUGAUCCAACAAAAAAUAAAAAAGACAGUGUAUGCGUAAUCUGAAAGGUAUAAUAGAUAAGAAAAGCAUGGCAAUGAACAGUCUUCAAAUAGAAAGAUUCCCAUAGGCCAAAUGAUGGGAGCUUUUUUACCCAUUCACUAGAUAAAAGAGCUAUGUACUUAGUACUUAUUCUCUAUUCCUUGAUCUGCCUCAGGUCCCCAAUUCCCCCGAAGUUGAUAAGAAAAUUAGUAUGAGUUCCUAUUUUACUAUAAAGCAACAAAUUUCAGGCCAUAAACAUUUGAAAGUUUCUGAUUCAAGUCAGAUCACACUACUUACUAGAUGAUGUAUACCUGCAGGGAUAGUCCCAACUAUAUUUCCAUAAAAACAGGUAACCAAAGCCAAGUCAAAUUCUGUAUCACGGAUUUCUUAUUUCCUAUUGUCUUCCCUUAUCAUUACCAUUGACUUUUACUCUCUUGGAAUCUAGAAUAAGAUUAUUCAGAGUCAAUUCAUCUAAUUUAUUUACAUAAAAUUCAUUAUAUAUAUAUUCUGAUUAUAAAGUUAACACAUGUUCAUUGGAAAAAUUUUGAAAAUAGAUUUCAAAGAAGAUAAAA
This 2872-nucleotide long non-coding RNA is filed under the name Marmota monax (woodchuck). The record is from RNAcentral. Lineage: Eukaryota; Metazoa; Chordata; Mammalia; Rodentia; Sciuridae.